GCGGUGUUUGCGGCCCAGCGCGGUGACCGGACCCUGCAGUUCUUGCCGCCGCGGCUGGGAGUCUUUGCUGCCCUCGGGCACCCGCGCGCCGAGGCUGUGGUGCUAGCUAAACUUGGCGGACGCUCCGGGCUCUUGGAAUUCGACUGCCUCCAUUGUUGCUCCUUCUGACACUCACAGACCACAUCUCUUCAGUGGACUCCCUGAUGGGUAGGUUCGCUCCAGUAGAAGUGGGGUUUCACCAUAUUGAUCAAGCUGGUCUCGGUCUCCUGACCUCGUGAUCUGCCCACCUCAGCCUCCCCAGAGUGCUGGGAUUACAGGCGUGAGCCAUCGCGCCCAGCCUGCUUCCUGUUUUAACAGACGAAGAAAGGCAUAACUUCCAGCCAAGCUGGAGCUGAAGGAGUGCCCAGGCUGGGAGUGGAGGAAGGACGUGCUCAGGAGAAGGUGAAGAUGGGAGAGAAGCAAGAUCUAUGUGUUUGGGCAAAGGACACAUUUCCUUACUCCAUAGCAGUUGAGGUUAGUGGCUUAGCUCUGCAAGGAGAUGAGCCCAUGUUUUGUGUGGGUUCUUCUGGGAACUCUGAGAAGGCAGGGGCCAUCCAUCGCUGCCUCUCUUCCAUUCUACAGCAUGGAAUAUGGAUGUGUGGUCUGGAUGUAUAGACACCAUUUUGGACCAUAAAGACAAGGACGAUUGUCUAAGGAUAACACAGCCAGAGAACUGGGAAUGGUGAGGACAGGGGAGCUGCUGUGCCAAGUAGGACUGCCUCUCUCUUAAGAGAAAAAUAAAACUUAUUAGUGUUUAAAGCA
This is a non-coding RNA of Saimiri boliviensis boliviensis (Bolivian squirrel monkey), 801 nucleotides long. Lineage: Eukaryota; Metazoa; Chordata; Mammalia; Primates; Cebidae. The record is from RefSeq and is a predicted model, not a curated record.